Molecule: long non-coding RNA, 4098 nt
Filed under: Eutrema salsugineum
Lineage: Eukaryota; Viridiplantae; Streptophyta; Magnoliopsida; Brassicales; Brassicaceae
Description: long non-coding RNA (ESAL_LNC000572)
Source: RNAcentral
CGGUGACGAUGGCGAGGGGUUUUUGGGUUGUGGGUUUGUCGAAACGGAGGUUGGGUAUGCGACGGCGGAGGACGGCGGUGAAAGAGGAGUUUGUUGGGAUGUAGGUGACGGCGGAUGUGAAAGUCUGCGGGUUCGAUCCCUCUCGUACGAUACACCGGAGGAAAGUCGCCGGAUCGGGAAUGGGUUGUGAAGUUGCUACUGAAACUGAGAUUAGUAGCAGAGAGACUAAGAGUAAUUUUUCCAUUUUUUGGUUUUGCUGGUUAAAUUUCGGAGUUUGGAUUAAGAUAUAUUUGUUUGAUUGUGUGUGUCUAUAUUUAUAUAGAUGAGAGAGUUUAUAGUAAUCCAAGCUUCUUAUUGGUUCAAUAGUAGUUGAGUAUAAACAAUUUUUCUUUUGUAGUUUAAUGUUUCUUUUCUCUAAUUGAAUAGUGGAGUUAUUGAAUGUCUGUCUAGAGAAGAAUUAUUAUUCAAUGUCGAAGCUUGUAAAGAACUAACUUUUAGUCCGAGUACCUUAUCCAAACCUAAUUGAAAAUUUAAUCUUCUCCUUUUUAAGAUUGCAGAUAGUUUGUGAAAGAUCAAAACAAAUUGUCAAACUGAUGAUAUAUAUGAUAUGGAUUGUUAUACCAUGUUAUAAGAGACUCGGAGCACGGUUCUGAGUUCUGACAAGCUUACUGUUGUUAUCAACAUAACUAGCUUAUUCUCUCCUGUUAUAAUCUAUUGUAUUCAAUUGUGAAUAUAAGCUAACUCAAAACCAAUUCCAAUCUGAUUUUGCUAUGUGCGGAUAUGAAUCAAUGUGGCCAACUUUGGGUUGGGUCAAUUUUGAUAUCACUAAUUUUACCUCAGUUACAGAUCGGAUUGAACAUUUUGGAUCGGAAUCUAAUUCCAUGUUAAAGUCAAUAUGAGUUUUUAACUUAUUUCUCAAAAUCGAUAGGUAAUGAGUUGAUUGGCCAACUUUCUAUAUAUUAGUUAAGAAUAUUAUUCUCUAAUAUCAUGAAUUGAAUGAUCUCAUUUACAUAUCAUUUUAAAAAUAUAUAUACUACCAGCAGGGUUUGGUUUUAACAAAUGUCACGAUAUUUUAACAAAUAAUAGAGACUAGUAUAGGUUUUUUUUCAAACGAUUAGUAUAGGUUUUGGUAUGAGAUUAUUAGUUAUAUAAAAAGAAUAUACAAUUUAUUUUCACGUUCUUUUACAGCUAAUGUGUUUUUAUCCAGAUUUAAUGGUAUAGUGGACUAAACUAAAUAUAUUUGACUUCAACUUACAUAUUAAUGCGCACUACGCGAUAGCCAAUAACGUGUCAUAAUCUAAAUACUUGACUUUUAAAGCUUGUCGCUUGCAGUGGUCAAAUGAGAGAUUUUGGCGGUUAAAAGAUAUAUGUGUAACCUAUGCGUGAUGCAGUACGGAUCGAGUAUUAUUUUUAUUUUAAUAAAGUAAGAUCUGUCAAAGAACAUAUAUCUGUAUAUCGUGCAAGUCUUGCUUAUAUCAAAUCCGCGUUAAUACAGAGAAGCGUUGAAAUGUCUUGGUCAACAAAUGUAUACAUCGUUCAUGCAUUUGAGUGUGAUAUCCUUUGGUAUAUAAAAGAUUCAUAAGUUGACAAUUUGACAACAUAUUAGUUUCUUAUAUUCAGCGCUUAACUGAUAGUAGAAACAGUUUAAAUAAAAUAUACUAAUUACAAAUAGUUUAAACUCGUUUAAAUCCAUCUAUUACUAACUUAAAGUAGACAAACAAACAAGUGCCACUGAAUGGAGCAUAAUUGCGCUAAUGCAUUUUUAAACUUUAACGAUCAAUCAUUUGUUCAACGCUGCUCAGAAAAAGUGGUUAGCUAUCAAAGAUCUUCCAUUAUUAUUAUUGUUAUCAUUCUUUUGCUAAAACUGUAAAUAUCAUUAAUGGAAUGAAUGUAACAAAAGUUAAACCUAUAUACUUGUUACCUUGGCAAACAAGAAUAAGAACAAGGAAACAAAAUGCUUCGGAAUAGUGAUUUUCCUUCCAUUAUUUUUUAGGAAAAAUAUACAUGAACCAAAAUGCCAAUGGGAGAUCUUGGGAAUCAAUAGAUCAAAGAAGAUAUAACAUAAACCAUGUUUUUAUCUAAUUUUUUGUAGUUCUUGAAGCCACGUCUACUGUCGUCUGUCGACCAGCAGUCGAUGAUGGUGGCAGUGGUGUUGUGAUAUUGAUGUUUUUUUUUUUUUUUGGUAAACUUAAAAAAUAAAAGUUUAUGCUUAUCUGUAACAUUUUACAGCAUCGCAAUUAGUGUUGUACGUCUAUUUUGUUAAUUGACUUUACAUUCAAACCAGAGAUCUUAAUACAUUUUGUAACAAUAUACCGAACCGAAGAUCUUAAUACAUGGUUCUUAUUCACUUUCAAUACAUGUUACAAAUCACAACACUCGUGUCGUCCUCAUUAUCUUCGUACCGGGAUACUUUGUUCGUUCUUCCAAAAGUUUUCCGCAUCGAUGGAAGAUUUAAUAUCCACUAACCUCUCGAAAUUGUCUAUGUAAUAUUUAACCCCAUAGAUUUUACCUUCCUCGUACGUGGAACUAACACUUGACCCUAUAUCAAGAUCACGGUAAUUUAAAAACGUCUCCCUCGGAUUACUAGACACGUACGGGCUCAUGAAUUCAUACAUCUCUCUCGCACGUGCCAAAUGAUCCUUCUCCACGUCAUCUCCAGCUUCUGACCAGCUAACGAGAUACUCGAUCUUGUACAAAUUACCGGCUCUGUGUGGGAACGGUAUCCUCGAACUCGGGAUCUCACCCAUUCUUCCUCCGUAUGGAUUCAUAUACAUUUUCACUUUCUCAACUUCCACCAAUUUCUUGAGUAUUAAACCGAGACCGGUUCUCGAAAUCGGACGUUUCACAUAGUCUGAUUUUCGUUUAUGGAAAGCCUUACUCGCAACCGUCGGGUUAAGCAAUACCGAGGUUGGUGUACCGAUUGGAAAACCGGCCCAGAACAAGACCGAAUCGAUCCAUCUCAUCUCGGUACAAUCACUUUUCUUCAGCUUUAGCUCCGGGAAAUCCCGGUUCAUCACGUUCAACAUCUUAUCAGACCGGCCUAAAUACAUCCCAAUAAAAGAAGCUAAAACCGUUUUUUCACCAGCCUUUGUACCGUUGACCAAAGUCAACGUCAGCCUCACGAACAGAUUCCGAUCUGUACUGUGAGCGAAACUCUGCCACUUCAUAAUAAGAUCGACGGCUCCUUCUCCGACGGUUUUCUCGAUGGUAAAAACCGUAACUUUCUCCGGCACCGGAACCAACCGGAUUUUAUAUCCGAGCACGACGCCGAAACUCGCCGCCCCACCUCCUCGAAUCGCCCAGAACCGAUCUUCUCCCAUCGAAACCCGGUCGGUGAAGAUAUUCCCAUUGGAAUCAACGAUUCCAGAUCCGACAACAUUGUCCACAGACAAUCCGUACUUUCUCAUCAUCGUUCCGUACCCUCCGCCGCUAAAAUGUCCACCAACUCCCAAAGUCGUACACAAACCAGCCGGAAACCCAAGGACAUUGCUUUUCUCGGCGAUUCGGUAAUAAAGCUCUCCGGUGGUAGCGCCGGAAUCGACCCAAGCCGUUCCCUCGGUGAGAUUAACGUCAACAUUUCUGAAACUGAACAUGUCGAGGACGAAGAACGGGACGGUGGAGGUGUAAGACAGUCCUUCGAAGUCGUGGCCUCCGCUUCGUAUCCUGACCUGAAGAGAGAGCUCGCGGGCGCAUCCUAACGCCGCCUGAAUGUGUGUCCACGUGGCGGCGGUGACGAUUGCUACCGGUUUUGGUGUUGUGGGUUUGUCGAAACGGAGGUUGGGUAUGCGACGGCGGAGGACGGCGGUGAAGGAGGAGUUUGUUGGGAUGUAGGCGACGGCGGAGUUUGGACUCGCCGGGUCUGUUGGCUGUCGUUCAAGACAUCGGAGGAAAGCGACCGGAUCGGUCACGGGUUGUGAAGUUGCAACUGAGAUUGCGAUUAGUAGCAGAGAAGUUACGAGUAAUUUUUCCAUAGUUUUUGCUUGUUUAGUUUUGGGAGUUUCGGUUUUGUCUUUUUGAAAGCUCGUGUGUGUGUGAGGGUGUAUUUAUAUAUAGAGGAGAUUCAAAGUUCGCAUUUUCUGAAGUAAUUUUUUUAUUUUU